Molecule: RNA transcript, 859 nt
Organism: Drosophila innubila
Lineage: Eukaryota; Metazoa; Arthropoda; Insecta; Diptera; Drosophilidae
Gene: Ntf-2
Gene name: probable nuclear transport factor 2
Exons: 5
Source: RefSeq, a predicted model, not a curated record
ACAUCACUAUAAACUUGUCGCUAAUGUGUUUUCUGCCUUGCGAAUUAAGGUUUAAAAUUUUUGUUGAUUUGUUAUAAAGUUGGAAUCCUUUUAAAGCUUUUAAACAAUAAUAACAUGGCACUAAACCCACAAUACGAGGACAUUGGAAAGGGAUUUGUUCAGCAAUAUUAUGGAAUUUUUGACGAUCCGGAGAACCGCGCUAACGUGGUUAACUUCUACAGUGCAACAGAGUCUUUUAUGACUUUCGAGGGACAUCAAAUACAGGGAGCGCCAAAGAUUCUUGAAAAAGUUCAGAGUCUUAGUUUUCAAAAGAUCACGCGUGUUAUCACCACUGUCGACUCGCAACCCACAUUCGAUGGUGGCGUGCUGAUCAAUGUGCUUGGACGUCUACAGACAGAUGAGGACCAACCGCAUGCGUAUAUUCAGACCUUUGUGCUCAAACCUGUGGGUGUUAGCUUCUUUGUGCAGCACGAUAUCUUUAGGCUUGCGUUGCACGAUGUGUAGCCCAGCAGAAACAAUCGCAGCAAUCGCAGCACUCAGAGAGCGGUCAGGCGGUGGCCAGGCAAAUGCGAUGAUGAUCCUCCACACGCUUUCUCCCAGGUAUUUGUGCUGAAAGCCAAUGCCGGUACCUACUUCGUAGCUCAUGAUAUCUUUCGACUUAACAUACACAACUCUGCUUAAGGGACGCACCACAGCCACCACCACCAACAACAACAUCCAAAGAGCCUCUCGAUUGAGGUGAAGAAGAACAUUCAAGAAGAACACUUUCUCACGUCAAUCAAACAUGAAAAUCAUAACAACUCAAUAAAAUACAAAAGCUAACAAAAGCUAUUUUCAUGAUUUCCAUGUCAGUAGCUAA